AGUGUUGCAAUUCACAAUUGCUAAAUAAAAGGUUGACUGCAUACAACAAGGGUGGGGAGCCUUUUGGGAUAUCACAUCAUUUGCAGCCAAAUAAAAAUUUCAACUCAACUUAAAAAUUAGCCUGCUAUAUUUGAUCAAACAUUUAAUUAACUCACCCCUAAUGUGAUGGCUGUAACUGCGCCUUAAUUCCCUUGAACUCACAGUUAACCAAUAUAAAUGGCAUUAGGGCUAUUACACACACACACACUAUUAAUAAAUAUAUAUUCUCUCUCAGCAAAUGGUAUAUAUAUAAAAAAGUCAAGGGUUAAAAAAAAAAAAAAAAAAAAAUUAGCUUUGGUGCUCAAAAAUAGAAUAGAUAAUUGAGAAAAAUAGAGCGUUAUCAAAAGUAAAGUUCAGUUUUGAAAAGCAGUACAAACAUUUAAAAAGUCCACAAUGAAAUGUGCCUUCUGGUUCCACAGGUUUGCAUGGUGAUUGCCAAACUUAUUUUGAUAACACUGAUAAAUUCCCCAUAUUCUGCUGAUCCAUGACCACAUCUGGGAUGAGAAUAAACUACUUUUCAAAGAACCUAACCAUUAUCUCCCACCCUAAAAGCAUUAGAAGACUAAUAUUUACACAUAAGUAAUGAUGCAUUGGUAAUUGAAG
Non-coding RNA from Pelobates cultripes (western spadefoot toad), 642 nucleotides. NCBI's taxonomy places the organism in Eukaryota, Metazoa, Chordata, Amphibia, Anura, Pelobatidae. The record is from the annotation of a GenBank genome assembly.